This 468-nucleotide ribosomal RNA is filed under the name uncultured bacterium. RNAcentral describes it as "bacterial SSU rRNA". It matches the Rfam family "Bacterial small subunit ribosomal RNA", at positions 355 to 825 of the family's 1533-position model. The record is from RNAcentral.
UGGGGAAUUUUGGACAAUGGGGGAAACCCUGAUCCAGCCAUGCCGCGUGAGGGAUGAAGGCCUUCGGGUUGUAAACCUCUUUCAGACGGAACGAAACGGUUCAGGUUAAUAGUCUGAAUUAAUGACGGUACCGUAAGAAGAAGCACCGGCUAACUACGUGCCAGCAGCCGCGGUAAUACGUAGGGUGCGAGCGUUAAUCGGAAUUACUGGGCGUAAAGCGUGCGUAGGCGGCUUCGCAAGUCAGGUGUGAAAGCCCUGGGCUCAACCUAGGAAUUGCGCUUGAAACUACGGAGCUGGAGUAUGGCAGAGGGAGGUGGAAUUCCACGUGUAGCGGUGAAAUGCGUAGAGAUGUGGAGGAACACCGAUGGCGAAGGCAGCCUCCUGGGCCAAUACUGACGCUCAUGCACGAAAGCGUGGGGAGCAAACAGGAUUAGAUACCCCCGCCCUGAGCGGGCUGGCAAGGCGCAU